RNAcentral lists this long non-coding RNA (623 nucleotides) under Sorghum bicolor (sorghum). RNAcentral describes it as "long non-coding RNA (SBIC_LNC015381)". Lineage: Eukaryota; Viridiplantae; Streptophyta; Magnoliopsida; Poales; Poaceae. The record is from RNAcentral.
UAUACUUGUUUACAGAUUUUAGAUCCAUUCAAAUGAGUGACUGGACACCGUGGCCAAUUGCAUGUCAGUGCUACUGUUAAAGUGAACCAUCAAUCACCAUAUCAUAAGCCAUCCAUCUACCCGCGGUCAAGCUUUGGACUCAACCAUACAUAUCAAUGACAAAUAUAUUUCGCAUAAUAGAAGCCAAUGGAUCAUGCAUCUAUGGAAUAAUAAUAGUGCAGAGCAAAUGAAGUGCAGGAAUAGUGCUCUAUACCUAUACCAAGCUCGCAUUAUUCAUGGCUUGUAGCGUUGCCUUGAAUAUAAAUAUAUACCCUUGUUGUUGGUAGUCUCAGGCUCUUAGCUUCAUACGACCACUCUCCCUAUGUUAUAAGUUGUGCGUGGCUGCUAGUAAUGAGUGGCUUAAAACGAGUGCAACAGUAUGAGUCUAUGAGGAGGGAUGGAGUGAAAGAUUGGGUGAUCGAAGAACAACAAAGCUCAUUGUGAGUAGGAGACAUCUGGAACAACGUUACCUACCGUGCAGGAUAUUGAUGUAGAAAACUAAUCAAGCUAUGGAGUGCACAUAUGUAAUUUGGAGUGUAACUUUUCCUUUCCUCUUCCUUUCGAGUUAAAUGAAUGAGCGGUCC